UGGGGAAUAUUGCACAAUGGGCGAAAGCCUGAUGCAGCAACGCCGCGUGAGUGAUGAAGGUCUUCGGAUUGUAAAGCUCUGUCUUUUGGGACGAUAAUGACGGUACCAAAGGAGGAAGCCACGGCUAACUACGUGCCAGCAGCCGCGGUAAUACGUAGGUGGCGAGCGUUGUCCGGAUUUACUGGGCGUAAAGGGUGCGUAGGCGGAUGUUUAAGUGAGAUGUGAAAUACCCGGGCUUAACUUGGGUGCUGCAUUUCAAACUGGAUAUCUAGAGUGCAGGAGAGGAGAAUGGAAUUCCUAGUGUAGCGGUGAAAUGCGUAGAGAUUAGGAAGAACACCAGUGGCGAAGGCAUUCUCUGGACUGUAACUGACGCUGAGGCACGAAAGCGUGGGUAGCAAACAGGAUUAGAU
Molecule: ribosomal RNA, 410 nt
Filed under: uncultured bacterium
Lineage: Bacteria
Description: partial 16S ribosomal RNA
Rfam family: Bacterial small subunit ribosomal RNA
Source: RNAcentral